Molecule: ribosomal RNA, 497 nt
Filed under: uncultured bacterium
Lineage: Bacteria
Description: partial 16S ribosomal RNA
Rfam family: Bacterial small subunit ribosomal RNA
Source: RNAcentral
GAUGAACGCUGGCGGCGUGCCUAAUACAUGCAAGUCGAGCGAACGGACGAGAAGCUUGCUUCUCUGAUGUUAGCGGCGGACGGGAGAGUAACACGUGGAUAACCUACCUAUAAGACUGGGAUAACUUCGGGAAACCGGAGCUAAUAACGGAUAAUAAUUUGAACCGCAUGGUUCCAAACGGAAAGACAGUCUUGCUGUCACUUAUAGAUGGAUCCGCGCUGCAUUAGCUAGUUGGUAAGGUAACGGCUUACCAAGGCAACGAUGCAUAGCCGACCUGAGAGGGUGAUCGGCCACACUGGAACUGAGACACGGUCCAGACUCCUACGGGAGGCAGCAGUAGGGAAUCUUCCGCAAUGGGCGAAAGCCUGACGGAGCAACGCCGCGUGAGUGAUGAAGGUCUUCGGAUCGUAAAACGCUGUUAUUAGGGAAGAACAGCUGUGUAAGUAACUGUGCACGUCUUGACGGUACCUAAUCAGAAAGCCACGGCUAACUACGUG